This 305-nucleotide ribosomal RNA is filed under the name uncultured bacterium. Its description in RNAcentral is "bacterial SSU rRNA". It matches the Rfam family "Bacterial small subunit ribosomal RNA", at positions 334 to 636 of the family's 1533-position model. The record is from RNAcentral.
UUGGUCUACGGGGCGCAGCAGUGAGGAAUAUUGGUCAAUGGCCGGAAGGCUGAACCAGCCAAGCCGCGUGAGGGAGGAAGGCGCAGAGCGUCGCAGACCUCUUUUGCCGGGGGACAAAAGGCCGGACUCGUCCGGUCCUGAGGGUACCCGGAGAAAAAGCAUCGGCUAACUCCGUGCCAGCAGCCGCGGUAAUACGUAGGGGGCAAGCGUUAUCCGGAUUUACUGGGUGUAAAGGGAGCGUAGACGGCCAGACAAGUCUGAAGUGAAAAUCCAGCGCUUAACGUUGGAAGUGCUUUGGAAACUGC